This 287-nucleotide ribosomal RNA is filed under the name uncultured Pseudomonas sp. RNAcentral's name for it is "partial 16S ribosomal RNA". It matches the Rfam family "Bacterial small subunit ribosomal RNA", at positions 1096 to 1382 of the family's 1533-position model. Lineage: Bacteria; Pseudomonadati; Pseudomonadota; Gammaproteobacteria; Pseudomonadales; Pseudomonadaceae. The record is from RNAcentral.
GCGCAACCCUUGUCCUUAGUUACCAGCACGUUAUGGUGGGCACUCUAAGGAGACUGCCGGUGACAAACCGGAGGAAGGUGGGGAUGACGUCAAGUCAUCAUGGCCCUUACGGCCUGGGCUACACACGUGCUACAAUGGUCGGUACAAAGGGUUGCCAAGCCGCGAGGUGGAGCUAAUCCCAUAAAACCGAUCGUAGUCCGGAUCGCAGUCUGCAACUCGACUGCGUGGAGUCGGAAUCGCUAGUAAUCGUGAAUCAGAAUGUCACGGUGAAUACGUUCCCGGGCCUU